This 332-nucleotide long non-coding RNA is filed under the name Citrus x clementina. Its description in RNAcentral is "Citrus clementina (C. clementina) long non-coding RNA (CCLE_LNC006198)". Lineage: Eukaryota; Viridiplantae; Streptophyta; Magnoliopsida; Sapindales; Rutaceae. The record is from RNAcentral.
UAUCGCCGAACACGCAGUCCACCCAACUUGUGAGUGACAAUAUAAGGAUUAUGACAAUCCUGUUUGCUGCCAUUAUAAGGUUUCCUCUGAGAGAGAACCUUAGAAGGAGACUGGUCUCUGUGUCUUUUAAGUCUUUAUAACUACAGGCAUUUAAUUAUUGAGUUUGUUAAUGGUCAAUCGUCAAUGUAUCAUUUUCUCAAAUGCAAAGUGAUAUAGUUAUUGUAACAUAAUUUACUAACAAAAUGAAUUGAGCUAAAUAGUCUAGUAAUUAUUUGUAUUAUUGAUUUUCAAUUAAUGUUAUUCAAAUUUUAUUCAUAUUUAAAUAUGUAUUA